CUUAAACUCCCAAGCUCAACCGUAUUCUGCUUCAGACUCCCAAACAACACUGUGUACAUGAACCUCCAUGCCUGAUGGUCCUGUUGGACAGGUUGGCUGGUCUUGAAUGGUGGGGCCUGAACUUGGGACCUGAAAAGGGAGGUCUGUGAAGGACACAGCAGGUGGAACGCUCAUACAUUAUUAAGGUGGUAGUGUGGAAGAAAAUGAAGUUCAACGUCUGCCUGAGUGCCUAGCAUGAUGUAUGGAGCAGAGGGUGCCGGUCCUGAUGAUGUGGCUGCUGCUGCUCUCCCACAGGAGCUGGAGUGAGAUUUGCUGAACCUGUGAUCCUGAUCUCCGAUACUAAAUCUUGCAGCCUGGGAUGGGAAGGAGAGUAUAGUGAUGGUUUAUGAUUCCUGGCUUCUUCAUAGACCUGCACAAAUUUCCCAGACCUCUGUGAAUUAAUCAUUGUGGAUCCGGCUGAGGAACACCUAUCUGUUUUUCCAAAAAUGAAUCUGUGACUGAGUGGCCAUUUAUCCACACUGCACCUUGGGAUGUGGAGGCCAGUAUAGUGCUCAUCUGCUGUUGAAAUAGAAGGCCUGGACAAUAGGUGCCUCAGAAAUUUCCCCUCUGGGAAGAGAGACUCAGAGCCAUCGAACACGAAUAUGAAGUUGAUGGGUGACUAAAGCUCCUCUUCAGAAUAUCACUGGAAUUCAGAGUUGUGCUAGACGGGUCAGGAAACCAAAUUGAAGGCACUGAAAAGGCUCCACAAACUGAGGAGGCAGAGCGGGAUAAAGGUUUUUUUUGCUGUUGACAUUCAGUACUUGGGGACUGGGACAGCUCAAACAGAUCUUUAGUAGUUGGUAGCAGCAAUACAUUGUAAUUUAGGAGAGGGAAAAGAAGAUUCAGAGUCAUGGACUUACACAUACCCACCACAAAAACAUUUUCUUGUCCUUUGAUCGAAGUUAUGAGAAUUGUAAUUUAACUAAUUGUGUGUUCAUUGUUAAUAAUCAUACUGCAAUUAUGGUAUUAACCUGUCAAUGCUUAUAACCUCUUUAGUUCACAGUGAAGGUGUUAACUGGAUGGAAAAAGAUUAGAGCUCAUCUGAGAGGAAUUUGUCAUGCUGAUGAGUCCUUAGAUUUAGUGUAAUUAAAAAGGCAAAUUUGGAUUUUAAUGCAGCUAGAACUGCUGAAGACAUCCUGGACCAAUUUUUAAAGGUCAUGCCAUCUUGGUCAUCCUUUACUCCUCUAUUGGGAGGUAUUGGGCCAUAGGAGCAUGUGUAUUGCUGGGCAUUACUUGUGUGCCUGUGAUUUUCAAGUUUGCUUUUGAACUCUACAUGGGAAGUUGGCUCAGAGGUGUGUGGCAUCAAGCUAUGCACUCUCCCUUCACCCUUUGUAAACAGAGGCUGGUAGUCAAAGACGGGUAAGAUCUUUUUUGCCUCCAGUCAACCUAAGACAGGGCAUCCAUGAUGGAAUGUGUGUACCAAUGACGGGUAAGUCUGGGAGGUUGAAAAAGACAACCUAAGACAGGCACAGUCGUCUGUCCUGUGGCAGAAGCACGGGCAUUAAUAAAAGGGAAAUUUUUGUGGGACUCCACAGUGACUCCAUCCCAUCUUGACUUAAGGUCAGGAGUUCGAACUAAUUCUUGCUCCUCAAGGCCAACAAAUAGGAUGCUUGACCAAAGGCGUGGCUAAUUGAUACUUACUCUUUUAAGACCAAAUAAUUGGAUGUUUGACUUAGGGCAUGGUGACUAUAUGUUUUGAGAAUUUAGGAGGUAAUUGCACUUGUUUGUUUCUUGUAUAUGAUUACGGAGUCUUUUGUCCUCUGCUUUUGCUAUGGGUAUAAAGGGCUAUGAGAAAUUAAUUUGGGGCUGCUACAGUAUUCACUGAGAGCCCUUCAAACUCUA
Molecule: long non-coding RNA, 1881 nt
Organism: Phodopus roborovskii (desert hamster)
Lineage: Eukaryota; Metazoa; Chordata; Mammalia; Rodentia; Cricetidae
Exons: 3
Source: RefSeq, a predicted model, not a curated record